This 465-nucleotide long non-coding RNA is filed under the name Calidris pygmaea (Spoon-billed sandpiper). RNAcentral's name for it is "lncRNA (ENSCPGG00000012670.1)". The record is from RNAcentral. Lineage: Eukaryota; Metazoa; Chordata; Aves; Charadriiformes; Scolopacidae.
AAACCUAGCACACCCUGCUGGCAUUAACAUGGUUGAUAACCAGGCUUUUCUGUAACAUUAUCAGCUCAAUCUAAAAGUUUCCUUGUAGGAACUAGAAGAUUUGUGAGUUCAAGUUGCAAAGAGGAGAGACUGGGAAGAAACGAAAAGGACAGCUUCAUCUCUGAGCUACAACUCUCCUAGAACAUAAAAAAAAUCUGUGGAAGCUAGCUGAGAAUUUUGCAAGCAUAUCGGAAUGGCAAAUCAACUGAGCAGCUCCCUGGCUCCAGCACAUGCAAACAUUUGAAUUUCCUGUUGGCUCAGAGUGUUUGCAUUGCAAGUGACAUCUGGCUGACAGGAUCUUGGAGAAAUGGGAUACGAAGUGAAUGCUGCAGUUACCACAGCAUCAUAUUUAUCAAAAGACUUAAGCUGCUGGUGAUGUCUCAGUGUAUCGUCAUGGUCCUCCUUUGUCCUAAAGGUGUUUAACCC